CUGAGUUAGGGUCUUCAUGGCCCGACCUCCAACCCAAUGUUUAAUCAUACCACGUUGCUUCGGCGGGCCCGUCCCCUCGGGGACCGCUGGAGGGUCUCACCCCCCUCUGGCCUGUCGCCCGCCGGCAGCCAUCACACCAAAACUCUUGAUCAACCAUGUCGUCUGAGUCUCAAUUUAUAAUUAAAUUA
Molecule: unclassified non-coding RNA, 188 nt
Filed under: uncultured Chaetothyriales
Lineage: Eukaryota; Fungi; Ascomycota; Eurotiomycetes; Chaetothyriales
Description: sequence contains ITS1
Source: RNAcentral